GACAGAGGGUGCAAACGUUGUUCGGAAUUACUGGGCGUAAAGCGUGUGUAGGCGGUCCGCUAAGUCGGGUGUGAAAGCCCUGGGCUCAACCCAGGAAGUGCACUCGAAACUGGCGGGCUAGAGUAUCGGAGAGGUUGGUGGAAUUUUCGGUGUAGAGGUGAAAUUCGUAGAUAUCGAGAGGAACACCGGUGGCGAAGGCGGCCAACUGGACGAAUACUGACGCUGAGACACGAAAGCGUGGGGAGCAAACAGG
This 253-nucleotide ribosomal RNA is filed under the name uncultured bacterium. RNAcentral describes it as "partial 16S ribosomal RNA". It matches the Rfam family "Bacterial small subunit ribosomal RNA", at positions 524 to 776 of the family's 1533-position model. The record is from RNAcentral.